AGGAUGAACGCUGGCGGCGUGCCUAAUACAUGCAAGUCGAACGGUACUCUUUCGGGAGUACAGUGGCGAACGGGUGAGUAAUACAUAAGGAACCUGCCCUCGGGACCGGGAUAGCUGAUGGAAACGUCAGGUAAUAGCGGAUGUGAGUCAUUAUGGCAUCAUGAUGACUUGAAAGGAUGCAGCAAUGCAUCGCGCGGGGAUGGCCUUAUGGCGCAUUAGCCAGUUGGCGGGGUAACGGCCCACCAAAGCGAUGAUGCGUAGCCGAUCUGAGAGGACGACCGGCCACAUUGGGACUGAGACACGGCCCAGACUCCUACGGGAGGCAGCAGUAGGGAAUUUUCGGCAAUGGGCGCAAGCCUGACCGAGCAACGCCGCGUGAGUGUUAAGGCCUUCGGGUUGUAAAGCUCUGUCCUCAAGGAAGAUAAUGACGGUACUUGAGGAGGAAGCCCCGGCUAACUACGUG
Molecule: ribosomal RNA, 463 nt
Filed under: uncultured bacterium
Lineage: Bacteria
Description: bacterial SSU rRNA
Rfam family: Bacterial small subunit ribosomal RNA
Source: RNAcentral